AACCUUUUCCCUUUUGUUUAUAUCAAAUACUGAAAUAAAUAUUUUCAAAUAACACACAUUCUCUCAGCUAGAACUACGUAACCCUGAUUUCUCAUUUUAGUGAGAAUACGUAGGAGCAAGGUUAAUCCUUGUCGGAAUCAAAAAACUAAAAAAUAUUUUUGUUUCUUUAGAUUGUCGUUUUUUAGGAUAGUUAAACAUUUUGUAAACCACAUCACAUUCGCGUAUUUAAUUAAAGGUAUUGUCUUGGGCAGGCGUUGUAGGGUGCUAAUACCUUCCCUACACGUAACCGACUCCCGAACCCCAUCUUUGGUUUUUGUGGACCGUGCUUUAUCAUUUUAUGGUUUUUCUGUAGUUUUCCAGAAUAAACUAUGGUGGCGACUCCGAACUCUUUUUCAAACUGUUUUUUUUUUGGAUUGUCGUCCCGUCGCGAUUCCGGUUGCGACAGAUGGCGACUCCACUGGGGACGCUAGAGAGUCAAGCCAUUUAAUUAGACGCGCGAAUUGAAUGUAGUUUUUUUUUUCUUUAUGUUUUUCUUCCUCUUUUCUUUAACUAUGUUGAUGUUUGAAUGAUUGCAUGUGAAUUGUUGUAUAUUGAACCCUAGGGUAGAAAACAUGUCUAUAUCUGCCUGGGAUUUUUCUGGUUGUUUUACAGGUGAGGGUUCGGGGUAUGCAUAUUCAUCCUCUCUUCACACACACACUUUAUGCAUAUCAUGAGUGGGGCCCUAUACCCGGGUCUGAGUGUAACUUAGAAUUAGAGGAGUUGUGUAGCGGUGUCACUCUGGGAUGUACUUCCUGUCUGGCUAUCGUGAGAACUCCAGUUAGAGUCUGUUCUCUUCAUUUGUCUCUCCGCAUCUAGUUGAUUACUCGACUGCUGUGGAGACGCUGUGAAGAGGGCCAUAGCUCUAGUGACCAUUGAUCUUUAGGCUCAGGGAACCAUCCUUGUGAGAUUUCAUAUACUAGACCUUGAAUCUUAAGUGUCGAACCUUCAUAGGGGCACAAAGAGAGAUGUGUGUAGUCUUCUAACCCUCAUUUUCGCUUGAUAAGAUCACGCAUCUUGUGCAUAUCUUGAGUCACUUGUCUUUCUUGCGAAUCG
RNAcentral lists this long non-coding RNA (1092 nucleotides) under Vigna radiata. RNAcentral's name for it is "long non-coding RNA (VRAD_LNC006833)". Lineage: Eukaryota; Viridiplantae; Streptophyta; Magnoliopsida; Fabales; Fabaceae. The record is from RNAcentral.